This 1014-nucleotide long non-coding RNA is filed under the name Homo sapiens (human). RNAcentral describes it as "HSALNT0323769". Lineage: Eukaryota; Metazoa; Chordata; Mammalia; Primates; Hominidae. The record is from RNAcentral.
UCUAAGCUGGCUCCUAAAGAGAAGUAAGUAAAAGUUCAUCAGAUGAAGAAUAGAAGGUGUUUUCUAGGUGGAUGGAGGAAGAGAUAUUUACAAAGCCAGGAGGUGUGAGGGAACCUCACAUUCAGGGGAAAUGCAAGAAUAUAUGGAGGACAAGAAGAUGGAAAGAGAGGGCAGUCAGAAAAAUCAGCAAGACAGAGAAAUAACCAAGAGAAAUGAGCAAAGCCCGACUGUUGUUCCUACUUUGGCCAUUGGAGCUCUUUCCAGUUAGCUUCUCUUCCUUGGACAGCUUCCAUACGUUUUUGAGCACUUCCUUAUUUCUGACACCAGAAGAUGACUCAGGCUUGACUUGUAUUCUCCCCGUCCAACAAUGGAAUCUGCCAUUUCUCCAAGGAGCCCUGAUUCCUUUUAUUUGAGCGUGGUAUUAAAGGGAGCCUAGUCUGUGUCAGCUACCAUCUGGCAGUAUGUACCAUAGUAGUGAGCAAAAUCAGUAUGAUCUCAUGGAACUUAUCAUCAAAGGAAAGGUAAGGCAAAUGACCACUAGGAAAGCACACAUGAAAGAAAUGAAAAUUGUGAUAUGUGUUAUAAAGAAAACAUAAAGAAAGCAUAAAAUGCCACAUAAAUGAUCACCGUUUUAGCACUAGUGCCUUAUAUUUCAUGAAUAUAUUGCUUGUUCUUCGUCAAAUGAGUGACAAAGUUCUCUCUUAAAGUUGUUAAUGCUAUCCAACUUACAUAACUGUAGGAAAGAGGUUCCAGAAGAGUGUUCUAGUAAAUUUCUAACAAACAUGGUCUGGAAAAAGCAUAAAAUUUAACUUUGAAAUCAUAUUUAUGAUUGUAUUGCAAGAUCUGCAUUGUCGUUGAUUUUUAUCUUUACCCUCUUUAUAUGGCUGGGACAGUAAUUCUCAAGAGGUAUUUCCUAUUGUCAAGUUAUAUUUUGCUUAAAUGACAUAAAAAUGUAUAUAAAUUUUUAAAUGCAUAUAUAAUGCAUAUGGAGUAAUGAAAAUACUGAGAAGUAAA